AUACCUUUCUUGGCCUUUUGGCUAAGAUCAAGUGUAGCAUCUGUUCUUAUCAGUUUAAUAUCUGAUACGUGGUUUAAUGAACCGCACAAUAUUAAAUUAAUUUCUUUAGGGCGAAGGUCCAAAAGGUAGCUUGCUAUCAGGGCCUUCAAGCAUCGCUUCUGUAUUGCACUACAACAGAAGCCUGAUGCAACCCAC
This is a small nuclear RNA of Cryptomeria japonica (Japanese cedar), 195 nucleotides long. RefSeq annotates it as U2 spliceosomal RNA. The record is from RefSeq and is a predicted model, not a curated record. Lineage: Eukaryota; Viridiplantae; Streptophyta; Pinopsida; Cupressales; Cupressaceae. The transcript has a single exon.